CAAGUCGAACGAUGAAGUGGAGCUUGCUCCACGGAUUAGUGGCGAACGGGUGAGGAACACGUGAGAAACCUGCCUCGGAUUUUGGGAUAACAAAUGGAAACGUUUGCUAAUACCAAAUAACGUCGGAGAGUCACAUGACUUUCUGACGAAAGGAAUUCCGAUUCGAGGGGGUCUCGCGGCCUAUCAGCUUGUUGGCGGGGUAAUGGCCCACCAAGGCAACGACGGGUAGCUGGUCUGAGAGGAUGGUCAGCCACACUGGGACUGAGACACGGCCCAGACUCCUACGGGAGGCAGCAGUGGGGAAUCUUGCGCAAUGGGCGAAAGCCUGACGCAGCAACGCCGCGUGCGGGAAGAAGGCUUUCGGGCUGUAAACCGCUUUCAGCAGGAACGAAAAUGACGGUACCUGCAGAAGAAGGAGCGGCCAACUAUGUGCCAGCAGCCGCGGUGAUACAUAGGCUUCAAGCGUUGUCCGGAUUUAUUGGGCGUAAAGAGUUCGUAGGCGGUCGAGUAAGUCGGGUGUGAAAAUUCUGGGCUCAACCCAGAGACGCCACCCGAUACUGCUUAACUUGAGUUCGAUAGGGGAGUGGGGAAUUCCUAGUGUAGCGGUGAAAUGCGCAGAUAUUAGGAGGAACACCGGUGGCGAAGGCGCCACUCUGGAUCGACACUGACGCUGAGGAACGAAAGCAUGGGUAGCAAACAGGAUUAGAUACCCUGGUAGUCCAUGCGGUAAACGGUGGGCACUAGGUGUGGGUUUCUAUUAACGAAAUCCGCGCCGUCGCUAACGCAUUAAGUGCCCCGCCUGGGGAGUACGGUCGCAAGACUAAAACUCAAAGGAAUUGACGG
Molecule: ribosomal RNA, 843 nt
Filed under: uncultured bacterium
Lineage: Bacteria
Description: bacterial SSU rRNA
Rfam family: Bacterial small subunit ribosomal RNA
Source: RNAcentral